RNAcentral lists this transfer RNA (81 nucleotides) under Colletotrichum godetiae. Its description in RNAcentral is "tRNA-Thr". It matches the Rfam family "tRNA". From Rfam's summary of the family: Transfer RNA (tRNA) molecules are approximately 80 nucleotides in length. The record is from RNAcentral. Lineage: Eukaryota; Fungi; Ascomycota; Sordariomycetes; Glomerellales; Glomerellaceae.
GCCUUGUUGGCUAAGUGGUAUAGCGUCUCACUAGUAUAUGGUGACAUGAGAAGAUCGGCGGUUCGAUUCCGCCACGAGGCA